CCGACGCCUCGCGAUCUCUUUCUCUCUCUACCCAUUUUCCCGUUCUUCCGACCUCUCUUUCUUUGAUUCUCUUUUCCUUCUAUUCGGUCUUAUCAUCUCAUUUCAUUCUGUUCCGUUUAGAAAAAAACUAUUGGAUGAAUAUCGCAUGAUAUUAAAAGUUUGCAAUUGAUUAAUGAUACUAAGUAUCCCAGUAAUCUUUAAUAAAUGAAGAAAAACAUGUUCAAAAUAUAGUCUUUGAAUCAUUCAAGAAUAUAUAUUAUAUCGUAUUAUUGGAAUACUCGAAUGCGAAUAUACUCAUAAUAUGACUUCAAAUAAAACUAAAUUACAGAAAUUGUGUCGUAAAAUUUUCAAGCGUAUAGUAAUCAGCUUCAGCCAAUAGAACAAGUUAAACAGAAUGAAAUUUGGUAAUAUAUAAUUCUUCGAUGGCAUGAACCUUAUCCCUCAACUUGGAUGGUCAUUUGAUCCUAAUAAAAUAUGAUUGUACAAUUUCGUUGCAAGAUAUCCAAUGAUAGUAAUAAUAAAUGGAAGAUUUUCCAAAAGCUAACAGAAUAUAAAUGCACAGAAAUUUAUUAUUUUC
Apis laboriosa (Himalayan honeybee) is the source of this 577-nucleotide long non-coding RNA. RefSeq lists it as uncharacterized. The record is from RefSeq and is a predicted model, not a curated record. Lineage: Eukaryota; Metazoa; Arthropoda; Insecta; Hymenoptera; Apidae. The transcript is spliced from 4 exons.